Molecule: non-coding RNA, 25 nt
Filed under: Rattus norvegicus (Norway rat)
Lineage: Eukaryota; Metazoa; Chordata; Mammalia; Rodentia; Muridae
Source: RNAcentral
UGCCUUCUCACCCUCGCUUUGGACC